This 506-nucleotide long non-coding RNA is filed under the name Numida meleagris (helmeted guineafowl). RNAcentral's name for it is "lncRNA (ENSNMEG00000009012.1)". The record is from RNAcentral. Lineage: Eukaryota; Metazoa; Chordata; Aves; Galliformes; Numididae.
CAGGAAAAAAAUACUACCUUCGAGCUUUAACCAUAAAUACAACUCUGCAGCUAAAGUAAUUAUCAUUGUAAGAUGGAGAGCAGGCAUCGUUCUGACAUCAGAAAUUUCCAGCAUUGAUUGUGAGGCACAGGAGUGUAAGUGGUAUCUACUCUAAAGGCAGGCAGGAAAUAUUUCCAAUGUGAAGGAGCAAGGAGGGAGAAAGGGGAGAUUUGUGGCUACCAGGACGAGCUACUUGUGCACAAUGAAGAAGAGAAGGUGAGACCUAACAUCUCUCUGCGAUGACUGAUUUCAGUCAGAACUUCAUUGAGAACUCUUGGACAGAUGAAGGUCAUGAGGGGAGAGAUGGCAAGCAUAUUUUUAGAUGUCAUCAAUAAGUGACAUUGGCUGAAAAACUUCUGCACUGUGAAUCUGCAAGAAGCUGAUUUUUUCAGAUAGUCUUUCAUCUCCAAAUACUUGAAGCUAAAAUUUGGCAGACAUGGCAGUCUGCCCCAAAAUAUACUUUUUAA